GCCAAUGAGAAUACCCGCCAAAAGUCUACCCCCAAAAGAAUAUCGACGAGCCUCCACGCCCAGCUUCUCCAGGAAUUCCUGACCAUUACACCCUAGCAUGCUGUGUGUAGCGCCUGAAUCCAACAGGCCUCGCACGGACUCGCCCAUUAUAGAGAUUUCUGCGAAAACUCUCGGGUCUUUCUUGCACCAACGCUUUACUGAAGCAUUCACCUGCCUCCUCAUAGCUCGCCUUUGCUUAAAACGGGAUCUCGCCUUUCUCACCCGCACCGACAGUGCUCGCAUACCAUCCACUCGUAGUUCAG
This is a long non-coding RNA of Drosophila miranda, 302 nucleotides long. RefSeq lists it as uncharacterized. The transcript is spliced from 2 exons. NCBI's taxonomy places the organism in Eukaryota, Metazoa, Arthropoda, Insecta, Diptera, Drosophilidae. The record is from RefSeq and is a predicted model, not a curated record.